Oncorhynchus tshawytscha (Chinook salmon) is the source of this 2207-nucleotide long non-coding RNA. RefSeq lists it as uncharacterized. The transcript has 3 exons. The record is from RefSeq and is a predicted model, not a curated record. Lineage: Eukaryota; Metazoa; Chordata; Actinopteri; Salmoniformes; Salmonidae.
CUGAGCAGGGCUGAAGUCAUAGAAAAUAUGUAGCUUUUCAAAACAGCAAUGCCAAUAGGAAGAGAGGAAAGAGAGAGAGAGGGUGUAUGUGAGAGAGAGAAUGAAGUGCUGAAAUUAAGCAGCAGCCAGCUGACUGACUCCAGAGGAAUUUAAUAUUCACGCUCCCAACUCAUUUCAUAAUUUCUACUUCAAAGAGAGAGAGAGAGAGAGAGGGCAUUGGGGAGAGCAUGAGUGGAAAGAGAGUUGUUCCGUGUCAUUUCAGCAAGCCAUGACAGCCACCAUCUCAGAUUUUUCUGAAAUCGUUUCUGCAGCAAAAAGCAGGUAAGAUUGGCCUUCAUGAAACAUUACUUGGUAAAAAUGUAUUUGAUCUAUGAAAAAUGUAUCUAAUUGAUUGCACCAAAAUUGUUUACUUUAAUUGAUUGAAUUCAGAAAACAUUCAAUAAAUACAGUACCCAACAUCCAAUUUAGACCAAACUUCUUCUUACCAAUGAGUAAGACAUGAGGAGCGGUCAAAACCACACCCCAUGCCAAUUCAACCCCAACAACAAGUAUACAGUAUCAGUUCUCUGUGUUUGACAAGUAGUAUGAAGCUGUGGCUUGGAGUAUUGCUUCUCCAUACUAUGUAAUGCAUUCAUGUGAAUCUGGUGAUGUUUUCUUCCCCUGUUCAGAGAAAUCAGUAAUUGAAGUUACUUGCAUUAUUUACCAUGAAGUAGUGUGAAAGUACCAUGUUUUGACCACUAAAUACUGCUGUUCCUGCUGCACCGCCACACUAUUAUAUACAUUUUGCUGGUCUCUUGUGUUUAUUAAAUAGACCACAACAUUUCCUUUAAAACUUUGUGUAGAAAACCAAUACAUUUGGCUCAUGGUAAAAAUACAUUUUGUGUUCACCCUCACAAUUCAAGCCAGUCCUCCAUGAAAGCAAUUCAGUUAGUCCUAGCAAGAAGUUUGGUCAAAAUCGGAUCUAUUGAAUAUGGGAUCUGAAUCCUAUGAAUUAAAAUGGCCAAUUUGGGUGCAAUCAAUUAGCUUCAUUUCUCAGAGAUCAAAUUAUAUUUCAACAAAUGAUGUUACAGGAAUGUCAAUCUUACUUGUUUUUAACUACAGAAACGAUUUCAAAACAAUCUGAGAUGGUGGGUUUCCCGGAUUGGUGAAAUGACAUGGAACGACUCUCUGCCCACUCCUGCUCUCUAGAAUCCCCCGCCUCCUCUCUCUCUCUCUCUCUCUCUCUCUCUCUCUCUCUCUCUCUCUCUCUCUCUCUCUAUCUCUCUCUCUCUCUCUCAUUGGCACUGCUACUUAAUUUGAAAAGCUGCAUAAACUCUGGCAUAUUUUCUAUGACUUCAGCCCUGCUCAGAAACCUGCUCGACCUGUCUGGCCUAGCGACUGCUCUGGCCUGGGUCUGGAGUAUACGAUGCUAACCACAUCUGUUAUUAACUGCAGAAACGAUUUCAGAAAAAUCUGAUGAUGAUCUGUGCUUCUGUCCACAACCAAGCAAGGCCUACAGCAGCACCUACAUCUUCUGCACAGAUUCUGUCAGACUUAGGCCCUGACAGUUAAUCUCAGCAAGACAAAAAUAAUGGUGUUCCAAAAAAGGUCCAGUUGCCGGCAUCAGUACAACACGCCUGACACUCCUCCACCAGUCAUACAAGGAGAAUGGUCUACUGCCUCCCAUCAAAAAAAGAGCUGGCCCAAGCAAGCACAAGUUACACCUGAAGCAUGAGGACUUGCAGCGAGCAUAAUGCAAUAGUAUUACAAGGAUACCACCCAGGGCACAAACACUUUUGUGGACUAGAUGGUACGGUGCUGGUGGAAAGCUAUGGCUGGCAACACCAGACUCCAUACUUCAGGCUGUGGCCACAGAUCAAGCAGUACCAGCACUUCAAACGAUUGUAUGAGGUUAUUCUUCUUAUCUAAACUUGGGAGGUGAAUUGAUGUUGUGCAAGGUUGUAAUGUCUUCAAAUUUUUUGUUUGUUAUUUCCUGUUUUACUUCUUUGAUGCUCUGGAGCCUGGGUUGUUGUCUGACAUCCUUCCUCCCAUAGAUGGUCUGUCUGUACAAGCACCACCUGGACUGGACACCUGGGCUAGACAAACUUACCUGGAAUGUUUCCUUAUUGUAGGCUACUACUUUUACCACUUUUAGUCUUAAUCUUUACUACACUACUCACUGUUUAGCACAUAACCUCAUAUGUGAAUCCUUAAAGAGAUGGGUGGGG